AGCAGGGGCCAGCAGCUGUGGCCUCUGCCCUUGAGGCCUGAUCACUUCCUGUCUACUCCCUUUCCUCAACCAGUCCCUAAAGUCUCCCAUUCAGCCUGAGCCUCAGAACUCAGAGUUUUGCACCCGCUGAGGACACUGCCAUUGUUGCUCUCCUUGAGUCUCGUCUGCACUGGAAGGCUGCCUUCUGCCUGGAUCUGAGGCAGCAAUAAGGGCCCUGCAUCCAUUCUCAUCCAGUAGCAGGACUGGACAGAUCAAAGUGUGACCCUCCGGAGGCCAAACCUGAGAGGAGGUGGGACUUUGGGAAGAGAGCAGAAGAUAACAAAGAGAAGCCCCAGCCAGCCCAGUGUGGUAGUGCAAUGUAACCCCAACCACUUGGCAAGUAGGAGGAUUGAAAGUUCAAGGCCAGCCUUGGUAAUUCAGCAAGAUCUUCAGCAACUUGGUGAGACCAUGUCUCAAAAUAAAAAAUAGAUGUAACUCAGUGGUAAAGCACCCCUGGGUUCCAUACCUAGUACCAAAAACAAAAUAAAACAAAACAAAAAAACCAACGAUGAUGAAAAACAAACAACAAAAACCCAAACCAAAAACAACAACAAAAAACCCUAGGCAGAAUGCCUUUUUAAUCUAGGGGAAUUAAUGGCAAUUGUGCAUCCUGAUAAUCCCAUGAGGUCCCACACCAGCAGAUUGCCCAAAUUAACAAGUUCUGAGGCUGUAGAGUCUAGUUCUAAAUUUACUGGGCAGCACAAAAUUUUGCUUAGGGAAGAAAGAGACUAGGCCAUUAGUGCUCACUGUUCCAGAAAUACUUAGAGUCAAAUUGGUAGGCAAAAAGAUUUUAUCCAAAGUCAAGUUUGAAAGAAGAAAGAAGAAAUUUAAUCAUUUCAAAGUUUUCAUCUCUGAAAUCCCUGAAAAUCAGCAGAAUUUUAAAGGAGAGGAGGCAGCUGCAGGUUCGCGAGACAGAAGGUGGAAAAGGAGUUUAAUAAGCCCUAUUUGAGAAUCAGACCAGAGACCUUGCAUCUUAUAGAAGAAAAAGUAGGUCCAGAGCUUCAACAUGUCGGCUUAGGACCAGACUUCCUCAACAGGACUCCCAUAGCACAAGAAAUAAA
Molecule: long non-coding RNA, 1100 nt
Organism: Sciurus carolinensis (gray squirrel)
Lineage: Eukaryota; Metazoa; Chordata; Mammalia; Rodentia; Sciuridae
Exons: 3
Source: RefSeq, a predicted model, not a curated record